CAUGGCUCAGAUUGAACGCUGGCGGCAGGCUUAACACAUGCAAGUCGAGCGGAGUGAUGGUGCUUGCACUAUCACUUAGCGGCGGACGGGUGAGUAAUGCUUAGGAAUCUGCCUAUUAGUGGGGGACAACAUUUCGAAAGGAAUGCUAAUACCGCAUACGUCCUACGGGAGAAAGCAGGGGAUCUUCGGACCUUGCGCUAAUAGAUGAGCCUAAGUCGGAUUAGCUAGUUGGUGGGGUAAAGGCCUACCAAGGCGACGAUCUGUAGCGGGUCUGAGAGGAUGAUCCGCCACACUGGGACUGAGACACGGCCCAGACUCCUACGGGAGGCAGCAGUGGGGAAUAUUGGACAAUGGGCGCAAGCCUGAUCCAGCCAUGCCGCGUGUGUGAAGAAGGCCUUAUGGUUGUAAAGCACUUUAAGCGAGGAGGAGGCUACUCUAGUUAAUACCUAGAGAUAGUGGACGUUACUCGCAGAAUAAGCACCGGCUAACUCUGUGCCAGCAGCCGCGGUAAUACAGAGGGUGCAAGCGUUAAUCGGAUUUACUGGGCGUAAAGCGCGCGUAGGCGGCUAAUUAAGUCAAAUGUGAAAUCCCCGAGCUUAACUUGCGAAUUGCAUUCGAUACUGGUUAGCUAGAGUGUGGGAGAGGAUGGUAGAAUUCCAGGUGUAGCGGUGAAAUGCGUAGAGAUCUGGAGGAAUACCGAUGGCGAAGGCAGCAUCUGGCCUAACACUGACGCUGAGGUGCGAAAGCAUGGGGAGCAAACAGGAUUAGAUACCCUGGUAGUCCAUGCCGUAAACGAUGUCUACUAGCCGUUGGGGCCUUUGAGGCUUUAGUGGCGCAGCUAACGCGAUAAGUAGACCGCCUGGGGAGUACGGUCGCAAGACUAAAACUCAAAUGAAUUGACGGGGGCCCGCACAAGCGGUGGAGCAUGUGGUUUAAUUCGAUGCAACGCGAAGAACCUUACCUGGCCUUGACAUAGUAAGAACUUUCCAGAGAUGGAUUGGUGCCUUCGGGAACUUACAUACAGGUGCUGCAUGGCUGUCGUCAGCUCGUGUCGUGAGAUGUUGGGUUAAGUCCCGCAACGAGCGCAACCCUUUUCCUUAUUUGCCAGCGAGUAAUGUGGGAACUUUAAGGAUACUGCCAGUGACAAACUGGAGGAAGGCGGGGACGACGUCAAGUCAUCAUGGCCCUUACGGCCAGGGCUACACACGUGCUACAAUGGUCGGUACAAAGGGUUGCUACCUAGCGAUAGGAUGCUAAUCUCAAAAAGCCGAUCGUAGUCCGGAUUGGAGUCUGCAACUCGACUCCAUGAAGUA
This 1313-nucleotide ribosomal RNA is filed under the name uncultured bacterium. RNAcentral describes it as "bacterial SSU rRNA". It matches the Rfam family "Bacterial small subunit ribosomal RNA", at positions 18 to 1327 of the family's 1533-position model. The record is from RNAcentral.